This 482-nucleotide ribosomal RNA is filed under the name uncultured bacterium. Its description in RNAcentral is "partial 16S ribosomal RNA". It matches the Rfam family "Bacterial small subunit ribosomal RNA", at positions 30 to 507 of the family's 1533-position model. The record is from RNAcentral.
AUUGAACGCUGGCGGCAUGCUCUACACAUGCAAGUCGAACGGUAACAGGCCGCAAGGUGCUGACGAGUGGCGAACGGGUGAGUAAUGCAUCGGAACGUGCCCAGUCGUGGGGGACAACUACUCGAAAGAGUAGCUAAUACCGCAUACGAUCUAUGGAUGAAAGCGGGGGACCGUAAGGCCUCGCGCGAGUGGAGCGGCCGAUGUCAGAUUAGGUAGUUGGUGGGGUAAAGGCUCACCAAGCCAACGAUCUGUAGCUGGUCUGAGAGGACGACCAGCCACACUGGGACUGAGACACGGCCCAGACUCCUACGGGAGGCAGCAGUGGGGAAUUUUGGACAAUGGGCGCAAGCCUGAUCCAGCAAUGCCGCGUGCAGGAAGAAGGCCUUCGGGUUGUAAACUGCUUUUGUACGGAACGAAACGGCUCUGGUUAAUACCCGGGGCUAAUGACGGUACCGUAAGAAUAAGCACCGGCUAACUACGUG